This is a non-coding RNA of Marmota flaviventris (yellow-bellied marmot), 742 nucleotides long. NCBI's taxonomy places the organism in Eukaryota, Metazoa, Chordata, Mammalia, Rodentia, Sciuridae. The record is from RefSeq and is a predicted model, not a curated record.
CUUACCAAGGCCAUGCAUUGCCUGCUUUGGUGGCCUUUUGGAAUCGUAUCCAGGUCUCACAUCUUUCUAAAGGCCUCAUAAAGAGACUGCAGUCGAAAAGGUCCACAACGGGUUUGUGUUCUAAGAAAAGCCACCGUUCAGCACUGUGGAUUGGCUACUGGCACACAAGAACAGGGCUGAGUCAGUGAGCUCCGUGGACUGGAUCUCUAUGCUGCAGGAAAGACCCACAUUGCCACCUAGUGGUGAGAGGGACAAACUCAUCUGAUGCCCCUUGUUCCAGGCUGCCUCUGCCCCACCUGAGAUGAGUUGGUACCAGUUCCACACCUGGUUGUAGCAAUAUAGAAGCAAGUCAUCUCAAAUGCCUGAAGGAAAUCAGGAAACAAGCAUCAUGUGUGUAUGGUGACAUGACUCCACAGAACUGGAACUAGUGAUGAGUUACCCUAUUGCACAGGAUCAUGCUUCCAACCAGUCCUAAGCACCUCGCCUGAAGUAUCCUUGGCAGCUAACAACUCUUUCCAGGUCUGGCUUAGAGUUGAACACAUGGAGAAGAAAUGCAUGAAAGUAUUCAGGGAAAGUAAAAUACCUGCCAUCAUUAAGAAAUCAUCAUUGAUCUGAAGCUGUGACAAAGAGGACCAGAGGUGCUGGGUUGGCUGUUAGAGCACUUGAUGGGUACACAUGAGGCCCUGGGUUUGAAUCCCAGCACUGAAUAAAAUAAGUUAAUAAAGGGUGCCAGUGGUUCCAG